UCAUCAUGUAGGAUAAUCCUUACUUGUUCCUCCCCUUGGAAGGCAGUUAGGAAAUGAUGAUUGGAGUUCAUAUAAUACUUGAUUAGUAUCUCUGUUUAAUCAGGACAUACAAUGCCCUGAUUUUUCCUCUCUGAU
Molecule: small nucleolar RNA, 135 nt
Organism: Nannospalax galili (Upper Galilee mountains blind mole rat)
Lineage: Eukaryota; Metazoa; Chordata; Mammalia; Rodentia; Spalacidae
Gene: U8
Rfam family: U8 small nucleolar RNA
About the family: U8 is a member of the C/D class of snoRNA which contain the C (UGAUGA) and D (CUGA) box motifs. U8 is the RNA component of a small complex (the U8 snoRNP) which is required for accumulation of mature large subunit ribosomal RNAs, 5.8S and 28S rRNAs.
Source: Ensembl